CCAAAAUAGGUAUACAUCACCUAUUCCGAGUCGCCAAAUACAUGGUCAAAAAUACAAAUACAAUCUUAAAUAUACAACAAGAGCUGUGAGUUUUAAUACAAAUAUUGUCUUCUAGACAAUAUCCACUCUCAGAAUAAGUCCUCAUUACAUUAAUUAUCACACUAUUUUAUAGAAUGGUGAGGACUAAAACACCAUCUCGGACCGUCACUCCGUUCCCCGACUAGUCCCGGCUAUGUUCUCAUUUCCUGAAGAGAAUAGUGAAAGAAAGGGUGAGCUCAACUAGCCCAGUAAGAAAUAUUAUGACUAAGAUAAUGCAGAAUAAAUUAUCAUUAGUCUUCAACAAUGUUAAACUGAUAAAAUACAAUAGACAUAAAGUUUAACUGCAGCAGAACAAGCAAUCCAUUAAAAGAGUCA
Molecule: long non-coding RNA, 414 nt
Filed under: Panax ginseng (ginseng)
Lineage: Eukaryota; Viridiplantae; Streptophyta; Magnoliopsida; Apiales; Araliaceae
Description: long non-coding RNA (PGIN_LNC018584)
Source: RNAcentral